This is a transfer RNA of Felis catus (domestic cat), 85 nucleotides long. It matches the Rfam family "tRNA". From Rfam's summary of the family: Transfer RNA (tRNA) molecules are approximately 80 nucleotides in length. The record is from Rfam. NCBI's taxonomy places the organism in Eukaryota, Metazoa, Chordata, Mammalia, Carnivora, Felidae.
GCCUGGGUGGCUCAGUCGGUUGAGCGUCCGACUUCAGCUCGGGUCCUGAUCUCGUGGUUUGUGAGUUCGAGCCCCGCGUCGGGUU